This 253-nucleotide ribosomal RNA is filed under the name uncultured bacterium. Its description in RNAcentral is "partial 16S ribosomal RNA". It matches the Rfam family "Bacterial small subunit ribosomal RNA", at positions 524 to 776 of the family's 1533-position model. The record is from RNAcentral.
UACAGAGGGUGCGAGCGUUGUUCGGAAUUACUGGGCGUAAAGCGUGCGUAGGUGGUUUGUUAAGUCUGAUGUGAAAGCCCUGGGCUCAACCUGGGAAUUGCAUUGGAUACUGGCAGGCUAGAGUGCGGUAGAGGAUGGCGGAAUUCCCGGUGUAGCAGUGAAAUGCGUAGAGAUCGGGAGGAACAUCUGUGGCGAAGGCGGCCAUCUGGACCAGCACUGACACUGAGGCACGAAAGCGUGGGGAGCAAACAGG